RNAcentral lists this transfer RNA (65 nucleotides) under Acaudina molpadioides. Its description in RNAcentral is "tRNA-Lys". It matches the Rfam family "tRNA". Rfam says of the family: Transfer RNA (tRNA) molecules are approximately 80 nucleotides in length. Their secondary structure includes four short double-helical elements and three loops (D, anti-codon, and T loops). The record is from RNAcentral. Lineage: Eukaryota; Metazoa; Echinodermata; Holothuroidea; Molpadida; Caudinidae.
CCUUAGGUAGCUUAAAGUAAAGCAUCAGCCUCUUAAUCUGAAUAUGAACAAAAGUUCUCUAAGGA